RNAcentral lists this microRNA precursor (83 nucleotides) under Cavia porcellus (domestic guinea pig). Its description in RNAcentral is "mir-1343 microRNA precursor family". It matches the Rfam family "mir-1343 microRNA precursor family". The record is from Rfam by way of RNAcentral. Lineage: Eukaryota; Metazoa; Chordata; Mammalia; Rodentia; Caviidae.
CUGGCACCGGUGCUGGGGAGCGGCCCCCCGGGCGGGCCUCUGCUCUGGCCCCUCCUGGGGCCCGCACUCUCGUUCCGGGCCCG